AAGACACUGGUAAAAAAGACCAUUACGUUGCCUUGUCAGGGCAAAAUUGUGGGUUAAAUCCCCGCGUGUCUUG
RNAcentral lists this transfer RNA (73 nucleotides) under Pentaceros wheeleri (slender armorhead). Its description in RNAcentral is "tRNA-Asp". It matches the Rfam family "tRNA". From Rfam's summary of the family: Transfer RNA (tRNA) molecules are approximately 80 nucleotides in length. Their secondary structure includes four short double-helical elements and three loops (D, anti-codon, and T loops). Further hydrogen bonds mediate the characteristic L-shaped molecular structure. tRNAs have two regions of fundamental functional importance: the anti-codon, which is responsible for specific mRNA codon recognition, and the 3' end, to which the tRNAs corresponding amino acid is attached (by aminoacyl-tRNA synthetases). tRNAs cope with the degeneracy of the genetic code in two manners: having more than one tRNA (with a specific anti-codon) for a particular amino acid; and 'wobble' base-pairing, i.e. permitting non-standard base-pairing at the 3rd anti-codon position. Lineage: Eukaryota; Metazoa; Chordata; Actinopteri; Acropomatiformes; Pentacerotidae. The record is from RNAcentral.